AUUGAACGCUGGCGGCAGGCCUAACACAUGCAAGUCGAGCGGAUGAAGGGGGCUUGCUCCUGGAUUCAGCGGCGGACGGGUGAGUAAUGCCUAGGAAUCUGCCUGGUAGUGGGGGAUAACGUCCGGACACGGGCGCUAAUACCGCAUACGUCCUGAGGGAGAAAGUGGGGGAUCUUCGGACCUCACGCUAUCAGAUGAGCCUAGGUCGGAUUAGCUAGUUGGUGGGGUAAAGGCCUACCAAGGCGACGAUCCGUAACUGGUCUGAGAGGAUGAUCAGUCACACUGGAACUGAGACACGGUCCAGACUCCUACGGGAGGCAGCAGUGGGGAAUAUUGGACAAUGGGCGAAAGCCUGAUCCAGCCAUGCCGCGUGUGUGAAGAAGGUCUUCGGAUUGUAAAGCACUUUAAGUUGGGAGGAAGGGCAGUAAGUUAAUACCUUGCUGUUUUGACGUUACCAACAGAAUAAGCACCGGCUAACUUCGUG
Molecule: ribosomal RNA, 484 nt
Filed under: uncultured bacterium
Lineage: Bacteria
Description: partial 16S ribosomal RNA
Rfam family: Bacterial small subunit ribosomal RNA
Source: RNAcentral